UCACACCUACGGGCGCAGCAGUGAGGAAUAUUGGUCAAUGGUCGGGAGACUGAACCAGCCAAGCCGCGUGAGGGAUGAAGGUACAGAGUAUCGUAAACCUCUUUUGUCAGGGAACAAAGGCGGGGACGUGUCCCCGGAUGAGUGUACCUGAAGAAGAAGCAUCGGCUAACUCCGUGCCAGCAGCCGCGGUAAUACGGAGGAUGCGAGCGUUAUCCGGAUUUAUUGGGUUUAAAGGGUGCGCAGGCGGUCUGGUAAGUCAGCGGUCAAAGCCCGGGGCUCAAACCCGGCCCACCGUUGAAACUGUG
Molecule: ribosomal RNA, 305 nt
Filed under: uncultured bacterium
Lineage: Bacteria
Description: bacterial SSU rRNA
Rfam family: Bacterial small subunit ribosomal RNA
Source: RNAcentral